AACCACAGCCAUAUCACCCUGUAACCUGAGACCGCUUACUCUCUGAAGCUAAGCAGGGCUGAGCCUGGUCAGUACCAGGAUGGGAGACCACUUGGAAAAACUAGGUUUCUGUUGGAA
Molecule: ribosomal RNA, 117 nt
Organism: Danio rerio (zebrafish)
Lineage: Eukaryota; Metazoa; Chordata; Actinopteri; Cypriniformes; Danionidae
Source: Ensembl